AAGUCGUAACAAGGUUUCCGUAGGUGAACCUGCGGAAGGAUCAUUAACACGUAUCCAACGUUAAAACAACCCUGUGAACCUUCAAUCUUGCUCGCGUGGCCAUGAAAGGAGCAAUCCCUGGUAAAUCAUUGUCGACCAGAUUUUUGAGUCCGGGACCUCUGCCGAUGAGAGUUACGCUCGUAGCGAUGCAAGCGACCUCCCAAGCAAGCGUCUUUGAUUGUGUAAGGGUCCCUUAAUCACCACACUGUAACGCCGACAGGUCGCAAUAAUUCCGCUGACCACAAAAAACCGAACAACUGUUAACAAUGGAUAUCUUGGUUCUC
Molecule: unclassified non-coding RNA, 323 nt
Filed under: fungal sp.
Lineage: Eukaryota; Fungi
Description: partial internal transcribed spacer region
Rfam family: Eukaryotic small subunit ribosomal RNA (bases 1-46)
Source: RNAcentral